RNAcentral lists this ribosomal RNA (407 nucleotides) under uncultured bacterium. Its description in RNAcentral is "partial 16S ribosomal RNA". It matches the Rfam family "Bacterial small subunit ribosomal RNA", at positions 30 to 526 of the family's 1533-position model. The record is from RNAcentral.
AUUGAACGCUGGCGGCAGGCCUAACACAUGUAAGUCGAGCGGAGCGGCGGACGGGUGAGUAAUGCCUAGGAAUCUGCCUGGUAGUGGGGGAUAACGUCCGGAAACGGGCGCUAAUACCGCAUACCAUCGGAUGUGCCCAGAUCGGAUUGGCUAGUUGGUGGGGUAAAGGCCCAGCAAGGCGACGAUCCGUAACUGGUCUGAGAGAAUGAUAAGUCACUCUGGAACUGAGGCACGGUCCGAACUCCUACGGGAGGAAGCAGUGGGGAAUAUUGGACAAUAGGCGAAAGCCUGAUCCAGCCAUGCCGCGUGUGUAAAGAAGGUAUUCGGAUUGUAAAGCACUUGAAAUUGUGAGGCGUUACCAACAGAAUAAGCACCGGCUAACUUCGUGCCAGCAGCCGCGGUAAUUC